This 253-nucleotide ribosomal RNA is filed under the name uncultured Acidobacteriota bacterium. Its description in RNAcentral is "uncultured Acidobacteria bacterium partial 16S ribosomal RNA". It matches the Rfam family "Bacterial small subunit ribosomal RNA", at positions 524 to 776 of the family's 1533-position model. The record is from RNAcentral. Lineage: Bacteria; Pseudomonadati; Acidobacteriota.
UACAGAGGGGGCGAGCGUUAUUCGGAAUUAUUGGGCGUAAAGGGCGCGUAGGCGGCUUUUCAAGUGACGGGUGAAAUCCCUCGGCUUAACCGGGGAACUGCCUGUCAGACUGGAAGGCUUGAGACCGGGAGAGGUGAGUGGAAUUCCCAGUGUAGCGGUGAAAUGCGUAGAUAUUGGGAGGAACACCAGUGGCGAAGGCGGCUCACUGGACCGGUACUGACGCUGAGGCGCGAAAGCGUGGGGAGCAAACAGG